UUAGCAGAGAAAUGGCAACUCAGCCGGGAGCUGGAGCUAGAAACUUUCUGUCAAUGUAACAGCCGCGUGGGUGGCGACCCAAUGGUGGUUGGGCUUCGGGUCACGUGACGACUUCUUUGUAGCUCCGGAAGAGAACGGUGAAGUUUAGGUUGCUUGGAAGAAGCAGAGAACUGCAAAGGGGGGAAAAAAUCGAGAUCUGGAAGGAUCACUCACAGAGAUGGAAGGUGUGUUAAUUUGGGCGCUUCUUGGAUUCUACCCUGAGGAGGAGGCGCGUGGUGAGAGGAGA
Hyaena hyaena (striped hyena) is the source of this 286-nucleotide long non-coding RNA. RefSeq lists it as uncharacterized. The transcript has 4 exons. The record is from RefSeq and is a predicted model, not a curated record. NCBI's taxonomy places the organism in Eukaryota, Metazoa, Chordata, Mammalia, Carnivora, Hyaenidae.